Molecule: long non-coding RNA, 2371 nt
Filed under: Sus scrofa (pig)
Lineage: Eukaryota; Metazoa; Chordata; Mammalia; Artiodactyla; Suidae
Description: lncRNA (ENSSSCG00035021186.1)
Source: RNAcentral
CCUGACAGCCAGGUACAGUCAGCUCAGAAGAGGAGAGCCGGGAGUUCCCGUCGUGGCGCAGUGGUUAACAAAUCCGACUAGGAACCAUGAGGUUGCGGGUUCGAUCUCUGCCCUUGCUCAGAGGGUUAAGGAUCCGGCAUUGCUGUGAGCUGUGGUGUGGGUCGCAGACGCGGCUCGGAUCCUGCGUUGCUGUGGCUCUGGCGUAGGCCGGCAGCUAUAGCUCCGAUUAGACCCCUAGCCUGGGACCCUCCAUAUGCCACGGGAGCGGCCCAAGAAAUGGCAAAAAGACAAAAAAGAAGAAGAAGAAGAAGAAGAAGAAGAGCCUUCUCUGACUGCGACGGAAGGGACCCAAAUUCACCACACAGGGAAAGAGUCUUCAACUGUCCUAACGCCCGCGGUCCAUCUCUGUCCAUCUCCAUCUGUGUACACGGACAGGGAUACAUACUGUUGAGUAUCUGUCAGCAUCCAGGGCUUGGAGGCAGAAUGAUUUACCAUCCUUCUAACUUAUGAGGAUUUACAAACUUGAAAAAACUUUGAAGGUGAGAAAUAUUACACCCCAAGUGUGCAUGGAUUCCAAGUUAACUUCUUCCAUUCCAAAUGUAAUCUCUGAAGUAUUUAAUUUGAAAGAUUUUACAUUUCUAAUUGGGAAAGAUCAUUCUAAACUCAUUUGUUUACAAAGCUUGCAUCGCCUCAAUGCCAGGAAAGAGCCAGCUAGCUACUGCACCGAAAAUGGUGGCUCUAUAAGACCUUAAAAUCCAGCGGUGAUAAUGUUUGCAAUCAUGAGCUUGUAUCACCAGUAAAAUAUUCGGGAUAAAAUUAUUCCUACAUCCAGUUGCUUUUUGUGAUGGAUACAUUUUUGAGAAGUAGCAUAGAGGAAGCAUUAAAGAGAUGAAAAGUUGAAUAAAAUCAUCUAUUUUCACUCCCAGGCAGAGUAAGGGAAAUAGAUGUGACACAGAUAAAGAUGCUCUGAGGAAAUGAUAAGGUAGAUAUCUCCUUCCUUUCUCCCAUAUGAGUGUACUUCAGUCCUCCAAGGUCAGGCACAGAAACUUAAACAUCUCUAAAGCCUCAAUACCUGCAGCAUGCUAAGUACUCGGCAAGUACUUAACAGAAUUGAUGGAAGUGAGGGUGUGAGGAAGACACUCCAUUAAUAGCACAUGCAUUUGAAACGGUAUGGAAAUGAUCAGCUCCAGUAACACCUCUUACUCCAGUGGGUUCCAAAUAGAUCAAGAAGACAGGCAUCAGGUGGACAUCCAAAUAUGAACUUCAUUUGCAUUUGGUGAGACUGGAUGGAGAACAUGCCUUCACCGUGGUGCCAGCAUGAGAUGAAAUCCUGGAACUCACCCUGGGCCCCUCGGGCCAGCGCAGGCCCUGCUGAACCCAGGCAUAGUAACCCAUCACUAUUAACCCAUAGUAACUCAUCUCAUGCUGAGCCAUGAGAGCAGAGACUGACAGAGGUGAGGCUGAGGCUGGUCCUACAAGGUGGGCUCUAGUGCAGGCCCCUAUUUUCCACUCACCUGGAAGGCAGUGAAAACAUUUAGCCCAUGUUUGGGCCAGAAAGGGAAGCCCACUGGGUCACCAGACCUGCCUGAGCAGGAGCAGGGAAGGCCAGCCCCUGACCCCAUGCCCCACCAGGGGGCGUAUCAGCCUGUCUCUCUGGGAAAGACUCAGUGGACAAGGAGGAUUUGUAAGUGGCCACGUGGGCAGGUAACAAGGAAUAUAGUUCCUCGCACCACUGACUCAUUACCAACAAGCCCCUUUUUUCUUAUCUUGGCAAGAAAAAAAAAAUGAGGAUGGAGAGGGGGAAGCGCCAACAAGAAAUCUCUUGGAGAUGGAAAGGUAUCCCCUGUUCCUGGUCAGCUUUGGGGAAAUGAGUAUUUUAAAUGACUCUUAACCUAAUGAGAAACUGAAAAUAUCUGAACAGACACACCACCAAAGAAGAGACAGAUGAAAAAUAAAUACCUGGAGAGAUGUUGAAAUUAUUAACCAUUAGAAAAAUGCAGAUUAAAACUCGAUAAGAUACUAGAAUGGCUAAAGUUUAAAAAUUGAUAGUACCAAGGGUUGACAAGAAGAUGGAGCAGUUGGAACCCUCAUAUACAGCUGCUGGGAAUGUAAAAUGGUAUAGCUGCAUUUGAGAACAGUUUGACAGUUCCUUGUAAGUUAAACAUGCAUUUAUCAUACGACCCAGCAAUCCACUCCUAGACAUAUACCCAAGAGAAGUGAAAGCAGAUGGCCACACAAAGACCUGUGCACACAUGUCUAUACAAGAUUUAUUAACAGUAGUCUCAAAUUGUUAAACAAAUCAAACAUCCCAUCAACUGGUACAUGGAUAAACAAAUUGUGGUGUAUCUAUACAAUGUAGUAACAGUCAACA